This 403-nucleotide ribosomal RNA is filed under the name uncultured bacterium. Its description in RNAcentral is "bacterial SSU rRNA". It matches the Rfam family "Bacterial small subunit ribosomal RNA", at positions 97 to 518 of the family's 1533-position model. The record is from RNAcentral.
GGCGGACGGGUGAGUAACGCGUGGGUAACCUGCCUCAUACAGGGGGAUAACAGUCGGAAACGAUUGCUAAAACCGCAUAACAUAGCGAAACCGCAUGAUUUUGCUAUCAAAUAUUUAUAGGUAUGAGAUGGGCCCGCGUCUGAUUAGCUAGUUGGUGGGGUAAUGGCCUACCAAGGCGACGAUCAGUAGCCGGCUUGAGAGAGUGACCGGCCACAUUGGGACUGAGACACGGCCCAAACUCCUACGGGAGGCAGCAGUGGGGAAUAUUGGACAAUGGGGGAAACCCUGAUCCAGCGACGCCGCGUGAGUGAAGAAGUAUUUCGGUAUGUAAAGCUCUAUCAGCAGGGAAGAUAAUGACAGUACCUGACUAAGAAGCCCCGGCUAACUACGUGCCAGCCGCCGC